RNAcentral lists this ribosomal RNA (269 nucleotides) under Aeromonas veronii. RNAcentral describes it as "partial 16S ribosomal RNA". It matches the Rfam family "Bacterial small subunit ribosomal RNA", at positions 1 to 264 of the family's 1533-position model. Lineage: Bacteria; Pseudomonadati; Pseudomonadota; Gammaproteobacteria; Aeromonadales; Aeromonadaceae. The record is from RNAcentral.
AAAUUGAAGAGUUUGAUCAUGGCUCAGAUUGAACGCUGGCGGCAGGCCUAACACAUGCAAGUCGAGCGGCAGCGGGAAAGUAGCUUGCUACUUUUGCCGGCGAGCGGCGGACGGGUGAGUAAUGCCUGGGGAUCUGCCCAGUCGAGGGGGAUAACUACUGGAAACGGUAGCUAAUACCGCAUACGCCCUACGGGGGAAAGCAGGGGACCUUCGGGCCUUGCGCGAUUGGAUGAACCCAGGUGGGAUUAGCUAGUUGGUGAGGUAAUGGC